UGGAGUUAGUGCUGGUUGCAGCUACUGGCCCUUUGCGACGUCUUGAUAUCAGUUUGGGAUAAUAGCUGGACUCUGGGGAAUCCUCACUCACACUUGAGACAGGUCGGCCAGUUUGUCCAGACAGGAUGCCCUUCACGCUUGAAGGUCACGAGAAACAUUUAUCAAGUAAGUUUCAUCAUUAUCAAGUAAUGACGAAACCAUGUAAAAACAGGUACAAUAGCCGCAAGGGUUAAGAGGUGGGUCAGGGUGAGGAAAAAUCGUAUAAAAGGAAAGAAAUAUCGUAGAAAAGUCGACAGGGAUUAGUUGAGUGAUUGUCUCCGACGCGGCAACAACUGCCGUGCAUUAUUUGCCAUCAGCUGCACCAGGCUGCAUUCUUUGUCACGUUAUCAGUUCGCAAUCAUGGACUUAUUAAAGGAGAGAGAAAUGUGAAAGAUAUCAGUCGAGAUUUCCGACACGGCAACAACUGCAGCGCACUAUAUGUCACCAGCUGCAUUCUUCAUUGUAUUAUCAUUUCGCAAUCAUGGUAAACUAUGGCGUCGUGCUGCUGUUGGGUGUUGAAUCGUU
This is a long non-coding RNA of Daphnia pulicaria, 564 nucleotides long. RefSeq lists it as uncharacterized. The record is from RefSeq and is a predicted model, not a curated record. NCBI's taxonomy places the organism in Eukaryota, Metazoa, Arthropoda, Branchiopoda, Diplostraca, Daphniidae. The transcript is spliced from 4 exons.